UACGGAGGGGGCGAGUGUUGUUCGGAAUUAUUGGGCGUAAAGGGCGCGCAGGCGGCUUGGCAAGUCGAGUGUGAAAUCCCUUGGCUUAACUGAGGAAUGGCGCUCGAAACUACCUCGCUAGAGGGCGGGAGAGGGAAGUGGAACUCUCGGUGUAGGGGUGAAAUGCGCAGAUAUCAGGAGGAACACCAAUUGCGAAGGCAGCUCGCUGGGACGUAACUGACGCUGAGACGCGAAAGCGUGGGGAGCAAACAGG
This 253-nucleotide ribosomal RNA is filed under the name uncultured bacterium. Its description in RNAcentral is "partial 16S ribosomal RNA". It matches the Rfam family "Bacterial small subunit ribosomal RNA", at positions 524 to 776 of the family's 1533-position model. The record is from RNAcentral.